Molecule: ribosomal RNA, 253 nt
Filed under: uncultured bacterium
Lineage: Bacteria
Description: partial 16S ribosomal RNA
Rfam family: Bacterial small subunit ribosomal RNA
Source: RNAcentral
UACGUAGGGGGCAAGCGUUGUCCGGAAUUAUCGGGCGUAAAGAGCGCGUAGGCGGUCCGGUAAGUCGGUUGUGAAAGUCGGGGGCUCAACCCUCGGAUGCCGAUCGAUACUGCCGGGCUAGAGUCCGGAAGAGGCGAGUGGAAUUCCUGGUGUAGCGGUGAAAUGCGCAGAUAUCAGGAGGAACACCAAUGGCGAAGGCAGCUCGCUGGGACGGUACUGACGCUGAGGCGCGAAAGCGUGGGGAGCAAACAGG